Molecule: ribosomal RNA, 468 nt
Filed under: uncultured bacterium
Lineage: Bacteria
Description: partial 16S ribosomal RNA
Rfam family: Bacterial small subunit ribosomal RNA
Source: RNAcentral
GACGAACGCUGGCGGCGUGCUUAACACAUGCAAGUCGAACGGAAAGGCCCUGCUUUUGUGGGGUGCUCGAGUGGCGAACGGGUGAGUAACACGUGAGUCACCUGCCCUUGACUUUGGGAUAACUUCAGGCAACUGGGGCUACUACCGGAUAGGAGCUCCUGCUGCAUGGUGGGGGUUGGACAGUUUCGGCGGUUGGGGAUGGACUCGCGGCUUAUCAGCUUGUUGGUGGGGUAGUGGCUUACCAAGGCUUUGACGGGUAGCCGGCCUGAGAGGGUGAACGGCGACAUUGGGACUGAGAUACGGCCCAGACGGGUACGGGAGGCAGCGGUGGGGAAUAUGGCACAAUGGGGGGAAGCCUGAUGCAGCAACGCCGGGUGCGGGAUGACGGCCUUCGGGUUGGAAACCGCUUUCGCCUGAGACGAAGCGGGAGUGACGGUAAUGGGUAAAGAAGCACCGGCUAACUACGUG